UACGGGGGGGGCAAGCGUUGUUCGGAAUUACUGGGCGUAAAGGGUUUGUAGGUGGCUUGUUAAGUCAGACGUGAAAUCCCUCAGCUUAACUGGGGAACUGCGUCUGAUACUGGCGAGCUUGAGUGCAGGAGAGGAACGCGGAAUUCCAGGUGUAGCGGUGAAAUGCGUAGAUAUCUGGAGGAACACCGGUGGCGAAGGCAGUUCACUAGGCCUGUAUUGACACUGAGGCACGAAAGCGUGGGGAUCAAACAGG
This 253-nucleotide ribosomal RNA is filed under the name uncultured bacterium. Its description in RNAcentral is "partial 16S ribosomal RNA". It matches the Rfam family "Bacterial small subunit ribosomal RNA", at positions 524 to 776 of the family's 1533-position model. The record is from RNAcentral.